UAUCGAUAAGUGAAACCGGAGUGGGUU
Molecule: unclassified non-coding RNA, 27 nt
Filed under: Klebsiella pneumoniae subsp. pneumoniae BJ1-GA
Lineage: Bacteria; Pseudomonadati; Pseudomonadota; Gammaproteobacteria; Enterobacterales; Enterobacteriaceae
Description: ctRNA_pT181
Source: RNAcentral